GGGUGGGGGUAACAUUGCUCCUGGCAUUCAGCGGCGGACGGGUGAGUAAUGCCUAGGAAUCUGCCUGGUAGUGGGGGAUAACGUCCGGAAACGGGCGCUAAUACCGCAUACGUCCUGAGGGAGAAAGUGGGGGAUCUUCGGACCUCACGCUAUCAGAUGAGCCUAGGUCGGAUUAGCUAGUUGGUGGGGUAAAGGCCUACCAAGGCGACGAUCCGUAACUGGUCUGAGAGGAUGAUCAGUCACACUGGAACUGAGACACGGUCCAGACUCCUACGGGAGGCAGCAGUGGGGAAUAUUGGACAAUGGGCGAAAGCCUGAUCCAGCCAUGCCGCGUGUGUGAAGAAGGUCUUCGGAUUGUAAAGCACUUUAAGUUGGGAGGAAGGGCAGUAAGUUAAUACCUUGCUGUUUUGACGUUACCAACAGAAUAAGCACCGGCUAACUUCGUGCCAGCAGCCGCGGUAAUACGAAGGGUGCAAGCGUUAAUCGGAAUUACUGGGCGUAAAGCGCGCGUAGGUGGUUCAGCAAGUUGGAUGUGAAAUCCCCGGGCUCAACCUGGGAACUGCAUCCAAAACUACUGAGCUAGAGUACGGUAGAGGGUGGUGGAAUUUCCUGUGUAGCGGUGAAAUGCGUAGAUAUAGGAAGGAACACCAGUGGCGAAGGCGACCACCUGGACUGAUACUGACACUGAGGUGCGAAAGCGUGGGGAGCAAACAGGAUUAGAUACCCUGGUAGUCCACGCCGUAAACGAUGUCGACUAGCCGUUGGGAUCCUUGAGAUCUUAGUGGCGCAGCUAACGCGAUAAGUCGACCCGCCCUGGGGAGUACGGCCGCAGUUAAAACUCAAAUGAAUUGACGGGGGCCCGGCACAAGCGGUGGGAGCAUGUGGGUUUUAAAUUUCCG
Molecule: ribosomal RNA, 899 nt
Filed under: Pseudomonas aeruginosa
Lineage: Bacteria; Pseudomonadati; Pseudomonadota; Gammaproteobacteria; Pseudomonadales; Pseudomonadaceae
Description: bacterial SSU rRNA
Rfam family: Bacterial small subunit ribosomal RNA
Source: RNAcentral